ACGAACGCUGGCGGCAUGCCUAAUACAUGCAAGUCGAACGAGAUCUUCGGAUCUAGUGGCGCACGGGUGCGUAACGCGUGGGAAUCUGCCCUUGGGUUCGGAAUAACAGUUGGAAACGACUGCUAAUACCGGAUGAUGACGUAAGUCCAAAGAUUUAUCGCCCAGGGAUGAGCCCGCGUAGGAUUAGCUAGUUGGUGGGGUAAAGGCCUACCAAGGCGACGAUCCUUAGCUGGUCUGAGAGGAUGAUCAGCCACACUGGGACUGAGACACGGCCCAGACUCCUACGGGAGGCAGCAGUAGGGAAUAUUGGACAAUGGGGGCAACCCUGAUCCAGCAAUGCCGCGUGAGUGAUGAAGGCCUUAGGGUUGUAAAGCUCUUUUACCCGAGAUGAUAAUGACAGUAUCGGGAGAAUAAGCCCCGGCUAACUCCGU
RNAcentral lists this ribosomal RNA (431 nucleotides) under uncultured bacterium. RNAcentral describes it as "bacterial SSU rRNA". It matches the Rfam family "Bacterial small subunit ribosomal RNA", at positions 29 to 506 of the family's 1533-position model. The record is from RNAcentral.